GAAUAUUGGACAAUGGGGGGAACCCUGAUCCAGCCAUGCCGCGUGUGUGAAGAAGGCCUUUUGGUUGUAAAGCACUUUAAGCGAGGAGGAGGCUACUUAGAUUAAUACUCUAGGAUAGUGGACGUUACUCGCAGAAUAAGCACCGGCUAACUCUGUGCCAGCAGCCGCGGUAAUACAGAGGGUGCAACGGUUAAUCGGGAUUACUGGGCGGAAAGCGCGCGUAGGGUGCCAAUUAAGUCAAAUGUGAAAUCCCCGAGCUUAACUUGGGAAUUGCAUUCGAUACUGGUUUGCUAGAGUAAGGGAGAGGAUGGUAGAAUUCCAGGUGUAGCGGUGAAAUGCGUAGAGAUCUGGAGGAAUACCGAUGGCGAAGGCAGCCAUCUGGCCUAAUACUGACACUGAGGUGCGAAAGCAUGGGGAGCAAACA
Molecule: ribosomal RNA, 424 nt
Filed under: uncultured bacterium
Lineage: Bacteria
Description: partial 16S ribosomal RNA
Rfam family: Bacterial small subunit ribosomal RNA
Source: RNAcentral